UACGGGGGGGGCAAGCGUUGUUCGGAAUUACUGGGCGUAAAGGGCGCGUAGGCGGCCUUCUAAGUCGGACGUGAAAUCCCUCGGCUUAACCGAGGAACUGCGUCCGAUACUGAAAGGCUUGAAUCCGGGAGAGGGAUGUGGAAUUCCAGGUGUAGCGGUGAAAUGCGCAGAUAUCAGGAGGAACACCGGUGGCGAAGGCGGGUCUCUGGGCCGAAACUGACGCUGAGGAGCGAAAGCGUGGGGAGCAAACAGG
This 253-nucleotide ribosomal RNA is filed under the name uncultured bacterium. RNAcentral describes it as "partial 16S ribosomal RNA". It matches the Rfam family "Bacterial small subunit ribosomal RNA", at positions 524 to 776 of the family's 1533-position model. The record is from RNAcentral.